This 368-nucleotide ribosomal RNA is filed under the name uncultured eukaryote. Its description in RNAcentral is "partial 18S ribosomal RNA". It matches the Rfam family "Eukaryotic small subunit ribosomal RNA", at positions 592 to 975 of the family's 1831-position model. The record is from RNAcentral.
CAAUAGCGUAUAUUAAAGUUGUUGCAGUUAAAAAGCUCGUAGUUGAAUUUCUGUCAGGAGCGACCGGGCCUUUGGAUGAACUUCCAUUGUUUUUUGCUCUGUUUGUCGUCUCUAGACAUCCUAAAUUACAUUUCUUGUAAUUUUCUUUUACUGUUAGCAAAAUAGAGUGUUCCAAGCAAAGCGUAGUUUUGAAUACAUUAGAAUGGAAUAAUAAGAUAGGACUUUGGUGCUAUUUUGUUGGUUUGCACACCAAGGUAAUGAUUAAUAGGGACAGUUGGGGGUAUUCGUAUUUAAUUGUCAGAGGUGAAAUUCUUGGAUUUAUGAAAGACGAACUACUGCGAAAGCAUUUACCAAGGAUGUUUNCAUUA